UUUUUCAUAUUCAUAUCCUGAGGUGUUUUCAAUAUUAAAACAACCUUUUCCUAUGAAUUUUUUACGGGCACCUAGAAUUCUACAUUUUAAACAUUUAAAGGUUGCAACCUUAUAUUUGAAUAUGAUAUUGCCCCAAAAGCACAUGUGAUGAUGAUGUUUCACUUAGGGGAGAGAUGCCAAGGGGACCCAUAUCCUUUUAAGUAAAAGCCACCUUAGGCCAUCGAGCUCACCAAUUGGCCCCGU
Molecule: long non-coding RNA, 243 nt
Filed under: Amborella trichopoda
Lineage: Eukaryota; Viridiplantae; Streptophyta; Magnoliopsida; Amborellales; Amborellaceae
Description: long non-coding RNA (ATRI_LNC005400)
Source: RNAcentral